Long non-coding RNA from Lacerta agilis (Sand lizard), 337 nucleotides. RefSeq lists it as uncharacterized. Lineage: Eukaryota; Metazoa; Chordata; Lepidosauria; Squamata; Lacertidae. The record is from RefSeq and is a predicted model, not a curated record. The transcript is spliced from 3 exons.
AGUUACAGGAACAGACAGGGAAGAAUAGAAGAGAGGAAAGUUAUAGCGUGCAUAUUGAUCUUCAGAAGCAGCCACAGUUGUUCGCCUCCUCCCCUUGACUGGGUAAAAUAUUGCAGUAUACAAGAUUGUCCACAUGAAAAGAUGGUUUUGAAAUCCAACCAAGGAAACAAAAAUCCCAUCCAUAGUUUUGCGGCAGGAGAGCUCUUCCCCAUGCAGAAUCCUUAACUGAAAGAUCACCAAGGGAACCUAUUGUGCGUGAACAGAACACUGAUCAUGUUGAGAAAAGUGCACACUCACUACUCUGAUAAAAGGAGAGAAAUAAAUACAUAUAUGGUUA